CUAGCCCCGACCCCAAUCUUUCUCUCCUUCCCGAUCCUUUUCCUUGUGGCGCCGUCAUGGAGGCCCCCCCUCGCCGGCCGCCUCCCGCCCGCUCCGACAAGCCGCGCCCUUCCUCCUCGCCCACGCGCCUCCCCUUCCCUUCUUGCUCGCCGCCGCCCAGGUGGGUUCACCGGCGAGGUCCGUGUGCCGCGGGAGUGGCGUGGCCGUCGCUGCUGGCCUCCUCUGCCUCUGCAAGUCUCUUCUCUCAAGUCCGCGCGCCGCCUGAGCGGUGUGGCCAUCCCUACCGAGGCCUCGUUGUUGCACGAGAACCAGCUGGCCCGCCCCAUUUCCCUCAUUUGUGAAUCCUCGUGUGCUCGCUGCUAGUACUUGAUAUUGCAGAAAACUUGUGAUUGUAUUUAAAUUGGCAAGAUUUCAUUCAAUGAAGCAAGGUGGUACUAUUCUAGGAUUUGAUUAGUGGUGUGUUUGUAAGACAAUAGGCUUUGGGGGGAACCGGCACAACCCUCUAGGGGUGGCCUAUCACAUAUAUAUAUAUAAUGAGGUGGUAUACAACGUUACAAUAUACACAUGUAAAUACAGUUUAA
Molecule: long non-coding RNA, 581 nt
Organism: Triticum aestivum (bread wheat)
Lineage: Eukaryota; Viridiplantae; Streptophyta; Magnoliopsida; Poales; Poaceae
Exons: 2
Source: RefSeq, a predicted model, not a curated record